This 765-nucleotide ribosomal RNA is filed under the name uncultured Streptococcus sp. RNAcentral's name for it is "bacterial SSU rRNA". It matches the Rfam family "Bacterial small subunit ribosomal RNA", at positions 28 to 776 of the family's 1533-position model. The record is from RNAcentral. Lineage: Bacteria; Bacillati; Bacillota; Bacilli; Lactobacillales; Streptococcaceae.
GACGAACGCUGGCGGCGUGCCUAAUACAUGCAAGUAGAACGCUGAAGAGAGGAGCUUGCUCUUCUUGGAUGAGUUGCGAACGGGUGAGUAACGCGUAGGUAACCUGCCUGGUAGCGGGGGAUAACUAUUGGAAACGAUAGCUAAUACCGCAUGAAAUUGCUUAUCGCAUGAUAAUUAAUUGAAAGAUGCAAUUGCAUCACUACCAGAUGGACCUGCGUUGUAUUAGCUAGUUGGUGAGGUAACGGCUCACCAAGGCGACGAUACAUAGCCGACCUGAGAGGGUGAUCGGCCACACUGGGACUGAGACACGGCCCAGACUCCUACGGGAGGCAGCAGUAGGGAAUCUUCGGCAAUGGGGGGAACCCUGACCGAGCAACGCCGCGUGAGUGAAGAAGGUUUUCGGAUCGUAAAGCUCUGUUGUAAGAGAAGAACGGGUGUGAGAGUGGAAAGUUCACACUGUGACGGUAUCUUACCAGAAAGGGACGGCUAACUACGUGCCAGCAGCCGCGGUAAUACGUAGGUCCCGAGCGUUGUCCGGAUUUAUUGGGCGUAAAGUGAGCGCAGGCGGUUAGAUAAGUCUGAAGUUAAAGGCUGUGGCUUAACCAUAGUAUGCUUUGGAAACUGUUUAACUUGAGUGCAGAAGGGGAGAGUGGAAUUCCAUGUGUAGCGGUGAAAUGCGUAGAUAUAUGGAGGAACACCGGUGGCGAAAGCGGCUCUCUGGUCUGUAACUGACGCUGAGGCUCGAAAGCGUGGGGAGCAAACAGG